ACCUUCCCAUCCAUUUUUUAUUCAUUCAUCAUCACCAAUAACAAAACCACUUAUUCGUCAAUCGACGAUCAUUCAUCAUCCAAUCACCAAUCACUCUCUCAUCAAAAGAGGAUCAACAUCUUCAUCAUUCAUCAUCAUUAAUUCAAAAGCUCUCCCUUGUUCUCUCAUUCUCAAUUUUCAUCUUCAUCAAUCACCUGCAUAUUCAACCUGCACUUUCCCUCAACCUUCAACACUCAUAUUCCUCACUCUCCAAUCAACAACAU
Molecule: long non-coding RNA, 263 nt
Filed under: Lathyrus oleraceus (garden pea)
Lineage: Eukaryota; Viridiplantae; Streptophyta; Magnoliopsida; Fabales; Fabaceae
Description: Pisum sativum (pea) long non-coding RNA (PSAT_LNC040144)
Source: RNAcentral